Podarcis lilfordi (Lilford's wall lizard) is the source of this 69-nucleotide non-coding RNA. Lineage: Eukaryota; Metazoa; Chordata; Lepidosauria; Squamata; Lacertidae. The record is from the annotation of a GenBank genome assembly.
GACAGCUCAGUCAAUAGAACAUGAGACUCUUAAUUUCAAGAGUCAUGGGUUUGAGCCCCAUGAUGGGCA